CCUACGGGGUGCAGCAGUGAGGAAUAUUGGUCAAUGGACGAGAGUCUGAACCAGCCAAGUAGCGUGAAGGAUGACUGCCCUAUGGGUUGUAAACUUCUUUUAUAAAGGAAUAAAACGAGGCACGUGUGCCCUUUUGCAUGUACUUUAUGAAUAAGGAUCGGCUAACUCCGUGCCAGCAGCCGCGGUAAUACGGAGGAUCCGAGCGUUAUCCGGAUUUAUUGGGUUUAAAGGGAGCGUAGAUGGGUUGUUAAGUCAGUUGUGAAAGUUUGCGGCUCAACCGUAAAAUUGCAAUUGAUACUGGCAGUCUUGAGUACAGUUGAGGUAGGCGGAAUUCGUGGUGUAGCGGUGAAAUGCUUAGAUAUCACGAAGAACCCCGAUUGCGAAGGCAGCUUACUAAACUGGGACUGACAUUGAUGCUCGAAAGUGUGGGUAUCAAACAGGAUUAGAUACCUUGUAGUC
This 459-nucleotide ribosomal RNA is filed under the name uncultured bacterium. Its description in RNAcentral is "partial 16S ribosomal RNA". It matches the Rfam family "Bacterial small subunit ribosomal RNA", at positions 338 to 795 of the family's 1533-position model. The record is from RNAcentral.